GGCCCAACCGUCAAAACCGCCUCAGUAAUGCGCUCGUCCAAAGCACGCACUUAACGCUCAAUCGUGGUGUCGCGUCCCGUUGCCAGGCAACGAAGGCAAGCGCUGCAAAGACGAAGGGGAGCGCCCAAGGAUGAGGAACAUUCCAAGACACUGAGUGAUUUGCUGAAAAUCACACAUCUAGAUGCAAAGCCAGAAUGCGAGCAGUGACCACCACACUUGACAAAUCUGUUGUUGCACACAUUUGUACUCUUCAAUCAACAAAACCUGAUGCAAAAAACAGAAAAGGGGGAGAUGUACAUGCAUUUUCCCUCACUGCAAAAAAAAACACAAUUUGUUUAACUACAGCUGUAGAAAACAGAAGCCAAUCGAAAGAGCUCCCAGUCCAAAGCUGGAACAACUUGAACAACAAAAUAAAUAAUGUAGCAUUGGAUUACAAACCAACCAUGAAACAAAUAUCCAUGAGUCUAUACUGAUGUCAAUAAAUGAAUAAAUGAAUAAAUGUGGGAAAAUAGACAAAUCUCCUUUCUCAUACAGAAGGAUUCCAAAUAAU
RNAcentral lists this long non-coding RNA (550 nucleotides) under Gorilla gorilla gorilla (western lowland gorilla). RNAcentral's name for it is "lncRNA (ENSGGOG00000044693.1)". The record is from RNAcentral. Lineage: Eukaryota; Metazoa; Chordata; Mammalia; Primates; Hominidae.